Molecule: ribosomal RNA, 480 nt
Filed under: uncultured bacterium
Lineage: Bacteria
Description: bacterial SSU rRNA
Rfam family: Bacterial small subunit ribosomal RNA
Source: RNAcentral
UCAGGACGAACGCUGGCGGCGUGCCUAACACAUGCAAGUCGAACGGAGAUAUGAUUUCGGUUAUAUCUUAGUGGCGAACGGGUGAGUAACGCGUGAGCAACCUGACUCUUAGAGGGGGAUAACACCCGGAAACGAGUGCUAAUACCGCAUAAGACCACGACAUGGCAUCAUGACGAGGUCAAAGGAGCAAUCCGCUGAGAGAGGGGCUCGCGUCCCAUUAGAUAGAUGGCGGGGUAACGGCCCACCAUGUCAGCGAUGGGUAGCCGAGCUGAGAGGCUGAUCGGCCACACUGGAACUGAGACACGGUCCAGACUCCUACGGGAGGCAGCAGUGGGGAAUAUUGGGCAAUGGGCGCAAGCCUGACCCAGCAACGCCGCGUGAGGGAAGAAGGCUUUCGGGUUGUAAACCUCUGUCCUUGGUGACGAAACAAAUGACGGUAGCCAAGGAGGAAGCCCCGGCUAACUACGUGCCAGCAGCAGC